RNAcentral lists this ribosomal RNA (640 nucleotides) under Alteromonas macleodii. RNAcentral's name for it is "bacterial SSU rRNA". It matches the Rfam family "Bacterial small subunit ribosomal RNA", at positions 90 to 732 of the family's 1533-position model. Lineage: Bacteria; Pseudomonadati; Pseudomonadota; Gammaproteobacteria; Alteromonadales; Alteromonadaceae. The record is from RNAcentral.
GACGAGUGGCGGACGGGUGAGUAAUGCUUGGGAACUUGCCUUUGCGAGGGGGAUAACAGUUGGAAACGACUGCUAAUACCGCAUAAUGUCUUCGGACCAAACGGGGCUUCGGCUCCGGCGCAAAGAGAGGCCCAAGUGAGAUUAGCUAGUUGGUAAGGUAACGGCUUACCAAGGCGACGAUCUCUAGCUGUUCUGAGAGGAAGAUCAGCCACACUGGGACUGAGACACGGCCCAGACUCCUACGGGAGGCAGCAGUGGGGAAUAUUGCACAAUGGGGGAAACCCUGAUGCAGCCAUGCCGCGUGUGUGAAGAAGGCCUUCGGGUUGUAAAGCACUUUCAGUUGUGAGGAAAAGUUAGUAGUUAAUACCUGCUAGCCGUGACGUUAACAACAGAAGAAGCACCGGCUAACUCCGUGCCAGCAGCCGCGGUAAUACGGAGGGUGCGAGCGUUAAUCGGAAUUACUGGGCGUAAAGCGCACGCAGGCGGUUUGUUAAGCUAGAUGUGAAAGCCCCGGGCUCAACCUGGGAUGGUCAUUUAGAACUGGCAGACUAGAGUCUUGGAGAGGGGAGUGGAAUUCCAGGUGUAGCGGUGAAAUGCGUAGAUAUCUGGAGGAACAUCAGUGGCGAAGGCGACUCCCUGG